RNAcentral lists this long non-coding RNA (420 nucleotides) under Fukomys damarensis (Damara mole-rat). RNAcentral describes it as "lncRNA (ENSFDAG00000025768.1)". The record is from RNAcentral. Lineage: Eukaryota; Metazoa; Chordata; Mammalia; Rodentia; Bathyergidae.
GGGUCCAAAGACUGUCACAAUGAGGAGGUCUGAUAGCAGUGGGGGUGGGAGGGUGAGAGGGUUCAGGGGUGCUCACGUGGCUACCUUCCUGGUGCUGGAGUGAUGGCGGUGGCACUGGCAGGUGAGGGCGCAGCACUCAGAACUGUGGACUGGGCCCAAGCAGGCCUUCCUGGCACUGGAGCAAUGGUGGCGGCGCCGGUGUGUCAUGUAUCCAAAGAACUGAGCACCAAAGAAAUGAGGAACCCAGCCUCAAAAAGACAGAUUAAAAAUACCAAGAAAAGACAAAUGCAGAGAGUAACGAAGAGGUUGACAGGAAGGAGAAAUAAAAUGCCUAUUUCCAGCUGAGCUAGAAGUUUACUCCUCAAAAUAAAACUUUGAAGCAAAUUUAAGCUUGUUCCAGAGCAAAAAUGUUUUCCAGGC